GUAGGUGAACCUGCGGAAGGAUCAUUACCGAGUUAGGGUUCGUCCAACGAGCCCGACCUCCCAACCCUUUGUCUAUUUUACCUUGUCGUUGCUUCGGCGGACCGGUCGCGACCAACUGGCCGUGGCCGCCGGGGGGUCCACCCCCUGAGAGCGUCCGCCGAUGGCCCAACCACAAACUCUUGUACCAAACCAUGUCGUCUGAAUUACUUGAUUAAAAUCAAAAAACAAAACUUUCAACAACGGAUCUCUU
This 250-nucleotide unclassified non-coding RNA is filed under the name plant metagenome. RNAcentral's name for it is "partial contains small subunit ribosomal RNA, internal transcribed spacer 1, and 5.8S ribosomal RNA". The record is from RNAcentral.